This 257-nucleotide ribosomal RNA is filed under the name uncultured bacterium. Its description in RNAcentral is "partial 16S ribosomal RNA". It matches the Rfam family "Bacterial small subunit ribosomal RNA", at positions 524 to 777 of the family's 1533-position model. The record is from RNAcentral.
UACAGAGGUCCCGAGCGUUGUUCGGAUUUAUUGGGCGUAAAGGGUGCGUAGGUGGCAAAGUAAGUUGGAUGUGAAAUCCUGGGGCUCAACCUCAGAAUUGCAUUCAAUACUGCUUAGCUAGAGAGCUGUAGAGGAGACUGGAAUUUACGGUGUAGCAGUGAAAUGCGUAGAUAUCAUAAGGAACGCCAGUGGCGAAAGCGAGUCUCUGGGCAGCAUCUGACACUGAGGGCACGAAGGCCCAGGGGAGGCAAAACGGG